RNAcentral lists this long non-coding RNA (365 nucleotides) under Calidris pugnax (ruff). RNAcentral's name for it is "lncRNA (ENSCPUG00000014073.1)". Lineage: Eukaryota; Metazoa; Chordata; Aves; Charadriiformes; Scolopacidae. The record is from RNAcentral.
CCAGUGGCCAUUACUGCCCUCCCCUGGCAUCUGCCCCUCUGCCCUGUCCCCCGGGAACCCACGGGAGCAGCACCUUCGCGAAGCACUUAGAGGAUUGCCAGCCCUGUCCUGCCGGUACCUUCAACCAUCUUCCUGCUCAGGCUGCCUGUUUCCCCUGCGGCAGCUCUUCUUCCUCCCAGCCUGGUGCUACCAGCUGUACCUGCCGUGGGCUGAACCGGGCUUUCCAGCAGUCAGAUGCCUCCUGUAUCUGCCAGGCUGGGUACGUUUACUACGAUGAGAGAGGCAAGAAAGACCCUGAUGGCAACAGCGAUCAGGACUGCCGACCUCAGGUAAAGCCUGGCUUCAAAACAAAGUUGUGUGACCCA